RNAcentral lists this ribosomal RNA (468 nucleotides) under uncultured bacterium. RNAcentral describes it as "partial 16S ribosomal RNA". It matches the Rfam family "Bacterial small subunit ribosomal RNA", at positions 28 to 507 of the family's 1533-position model. The record is from RNAcentral.
GACGAACGCUGGCGGCGUGCUUAACACAUGCAAGUCGAACGGAAAGGCCCUGCUUUUGUGCUGUUCUCGAGUGGCGAACGGGUGCGUAACACGUGAGUAUCCUGCCCUUGAUUUUGGUAUAACUUCAGGAAACUGGGGCUAAUACCGUAUAGGAUCUCCUCUUGCAUUGUGGGGAGUGGAAAGUUUCGGCGGUUGCGGCUGGACUCGCGGCUUAUCAGCUUGUUGGUGGGGUAGGGGCUUACCCAGGGUUUGACGGGUACCCGGCAUGUGAGGGUGGCCGGCGACAAUGGGACUGAGAGACGGAGCAGACUCGUACGGGAGGCAGCAGUCGGGAAUAUUGCACAACGGGCGGGAGCCUGAUGCGAAGACGUCGGGGGCGUGAAGACGGCUUUUGGGUUAUAAACCGCUGUCGGCUGUGACGAAGCGGGAGUGACGGUAAUGGGUAAAGAAGCACCGGCUAACUACGUG